RNAcentral lists this ribosomal RNA (380 nucleotides) under uncultured bacterium. RNAcentral's name for it is "bacterial SSU rRNA". It matches the Rfam family "Bacterial small subunit ribosomal RNA", at positions 30 to 412 of the family's 1533-position model. The record is from RNAcentral.
AUUGAACGCUGGCGGCAUGCCUUACACAUGCAAGUCGAACGGCAGCACGGGAGCAAUCCUGGUGGCGAGUGGCGAACGGGCGAGUAAUAUAUCGGAACGUGCCCGGUCGUGGGGAUAACGUAGCGAAAGCUACGCUAAUACCGCAUACGAUCUACGGAUGAAAGCGGGGGAUCGCAAGACCUCGCGCGAUUGGAGCGGCCGAUAUCAGAUUAGGUAGUUGGUGAGGUAAAGGCUCACCAAGCCGACGAUCUGUAGCUGGUCUGAGAGGACGACCAGCCACACUGGGACUGAGACACGGCCCAGACUCCUACGGGAGGCAGCAGUGGGAAUUUUGGACAAUGGGCGCAAGCCUGAUCCAGCAAUGCCGCGUGCAGGAUGAA